RNAcentral lists this unclassified non-coding RNA (278 nucleotides) under Hevea brasiliensis (rubber tree). Lineage: Eukaryota; Viridiplantae; Streptophyta; Magnoliopsida; Malpighiales; Euphorbiaceae. The record is from RNAcentral.
GUUGGAGCAAAACUGUACUGGCAAACAAGCUGGAGCGAGGCCCCACAGACCCGUCCAUGACCCCUCCCCGCUUCGGUUCGCUGGAAUUUCGGGAUUCUCUGGUGCCCUCUUCUCGAAGUCUAACCACAUACAUUUCAAGAACAUUACCGGCGGUGACAGUUUGGUUAGGAGGCAGACCAAUUCCACGCUUCGCUGGCCACUCAGACUCGAGAUCGUCGGACUGCAUAGAAGGAAUUUGAGGGGCAAGGUCGGCGCGGCAAUGAGUGAUGAAGCCGGUG